This 1453-nucleotide ribosomal RNA is filed under the name metagenome. RNAcentral's name for it is "bacterial SSU rRNA". It matches the Rfam family "Archaeal small subunit ribosomal RNA". The record is from RNAcentral.
UCCGGCUGAUCCUGCUGGAGGGCACUGCUAUUGAAUUUCCACCUAGUCAUGCGAGUCUGAAAAGCACAGCUGAGUGCUUUUGGCACACGGCUCAGUAACACGUAGACAAUCUGCCUUUGAGAAGAGUUAAACCCGGGAAACUGGGUAUAAUGCUCUACAGGAAAAAGUAACUGGAAGGUCUUUUUCUUAAAAGAACUAACUUCAUGCUGUUAGUUUGCUCAAAGAUGGGUCUGCGGCGGAUUAGGCUGUUGGCGGGGUAACUGCCCACCAAACCGAGGAUCCGUACGGGCCUUGAGAGAGGUAGCCCGGAGAAGGAAACUGAGACAAGGUUCCUAGUCCUACGGGGCUCAGCAGUCAGGAAACCUUUACAAUGCACGAAAGUGUGAUAGGGGAAAUUCAAGUGCUAGCUUUGCUAGCUUUUGUGAGGUCUAAACAGCCUUGCGAAUGAGUGGGGGGCAAGAUACGUGCCAGCCGCCGCGGUAAUACGUACUCCACAAGUGGUGUCCACUAAUAUUGGGCCUAAAACGUUUGUAGCCUGUUUGAAAAGUCUUUGGUGAAAUCAAUGCGCUCAACGUAUUGAAGUGCCAAAGAUACUCUUAAACUCGAGACCGGGAGAAGUCAAGGGAAUUCUUGAGGUAACGGUGAAAUGUUAUGAUCUCAAGGGGACCACCCGUAGCGAAGGCGCUUGACUAGAACGGCUCUGACGGUGAGAGACGAAAGCUGGGGGAGCGACCCGGAUUAGAUACCCGGUUAGUCCCAGCCGUAAACGAUGUGGACUAGGUGUCCUAAUAUCUUUGAGAUAUGGGGGUGCCGAAGGGAAGCCUUUAAGUCUACUGCCUGGGAAGUACGCUCGCAAGAGCGAAACUUAAUGGAAUUGGCGGGGGCGCACUACAAGGGGUGGAUGCUGCGGUUUAAUUGGGUACAACCCCACACAACUUACCAAGGGCGACAGCAGAUUGAUGGUCAGUCUAAAGGGCUUACCUGACGCGCUGAGAGGUGUUGUAUGGUCGUCGUCAGCUCGUACUAUGAAGCGUUCUAUCAACUCAGACAACGGGCGAGACCCAUGUUCCUAGUUGCAAUUCUUUUCAUUGAAGAGGAGCACUCUAGGAAGACUGCAAAGGAAACUUUGAGGAAGGAGUGGGCAACGGUAGAUCUGUAUGGCCCGAAUCUCUUGGGCUACACGCGGCACACAAUGGUUAAGACAAUGGGCUCCGACUCCGAAAGGAGAAGGUAAUCUCCUAAACUUAACCUCAGUUCGGACUGAAGGCUGUAACCUGCCUUCAUGAAGUUGGAAUCCCCAGUAGUCGCGUUUCAUUAAAGCGCGGUGAAUAAGUCCCUGCGCCUUGCACACACCGCCCAUCAAGCCAGUUGAGUGGAGUUUUAAUGAGUUGCAAUUCAAAGCGAAAUGCAGCAAUUUUGAAUUUCGCAAGACGGGCUAAGUUGUAACAAGGUG